AACGAACGCUGGCGGCAGGCCUAACACAUGCAAGUCGAACGCUCCGCAAGGGGAGUGGCGCACGGGUGAGUAACACGUGGGAACCUACCUUCUGGUACGGAACAACCAAGGGAAACUUUGGCUAAGACCGUAUACGACCUCCGGGUGAAAGAUUGAUCGCCGGAAGAGGGGCCCGCGUCCGAUUAGGUAGUUGGUGAGGUAACGGCUCACCAAGCCUUCGAUCGGUAGCUGGUCUGAGAGGAUGACCAGCCACACUGGGACUGAGACACGGCCCAGACUCCUACGGGAGGCAGCAGUGGGGAAGUAUUGGACAAUGGGCGAAAGACCUGAUCCAGCAAUGCCGCGUGAGUGAUGAAGGCCUUA
RNAcentral lists this ribosomal RNA (363 nucleotides) under uncultured bacterium. RNAcentral's name for it is "bacterial SSU rRNA". It matches the Rfam family "Bacterial small subunit ribosomal RNA", at positions 29 to 419 of the family's 1533-position model. The record is from RNAcentral.